Molecule: ribosomal RNA, 503 nt
Filed under: uncultured bacterium
Lineage: Bacteria
Description: bacterial SSU rRNA
Rfam family: Bacterial small subunit ribosomal RNA
Source: RNAcentral
AUUGAACGCUGGCGGCAUGCCUUACACAUGCAAGUCGAACGGUAACAGGUCUUCGGAUGCUGACGAGUGGCGAACGGGUGAGUAAUGCAUCGGAACGUGCCCAGUAGUGGGGGAUAGCCCGGCGAAAGCCGGAUUAAUACCGCAUACGACCUGAGGGUGAAAGGGGGGGAGUCGCAAGACCUCUCGCUAUUGGAGCGGCCGAUGUCAGAUUAGCUAGUUGGUGGGGUAAAGGCCCACCAAGGCGACGAUCGAUAGCUGGUCUGAGAGGAUGAUCAGCCACACUGGAACUGAGACACGGUCCAGACUCCUACGGGAGGCAGCAGUAGGGAAUAUUGGACAAUGGGGGCGAACCCUGAUCCAGCCAUGCCGCGUGAGUGAAGAAGGCCCUCGGGUUGUAAAGCUCUUUUGUCCGGAAAGAAAAGCAAUCGGUUAAUACCCGGUUGUCCUGACGGUACCGGAAGAAUAAGCACCGGCUAACUUCGUGCCAGCAGCCGCGGUAAAGU